UUUUCUUCUGGUCCAAAAGACACUUAUUACUGUGCAUCCAAUUAAAAGAAAAGUAAAGAAAUCAGGUUGAAACUAUCCGUUGAUCUUCCUGCCUCAGCCUCGGAAGUUGCUGAGAUUACAGGAGUGUCCUUUACAUUUGGCUCCCAAAGCAGUAUCUGAGUAGGAGUCUAAGCUUUCGAAAGAGCAUUCCUGCCCUCAUGAAGCUCACACUCCAGUAAAAUGGUAAGAUAGAAAGAAUGGGACAGAUGGCAGGAGGAAGGUGUCAAGCACAACACCGAAUCGAGAACAGCUACGUGUUUUCGGAAGUGGUAGUGUCCAAUCAAGACCUAGGAAAUGGUGGGAAUGAACUCCUGGCUUUAUACAUUUAUUAUCCUAGGAACAUGUGGUUUGUGUUUAUUUUUUAAAGUCUGAGAAAAGAAGCCUGUCUUCUCUGUUUGAUCCAAUGCUUAAACUUUCUAUAAUCAGAAAUCUCUUCCUUGUGCUUUCAAGAGGAAUUAUAAAUAAAAUGAUGAAAUGUGUGUCAAAUA
Molecule: long non-coding RNA, 527 nt
Organism: Chinchilla lanigera (long-tailed chinchilla)
Lineage: Eukaryota; Metazoa; Chordata; Mammalia; Rodentia; Chinchillidae
Exons: 2
Source: RefSeq, a predicted model, not a curated record